GACGAGUGGGGAACUGGUGAGUAACACGUGGGUAACCUGCCCUUGAAGUAGGGGAUAGCACUUGGAAACAGGUGCUAAUACCGUAUAACAACCAAAACCACCUGGUUUUGGUUUAAAAGACGGCUUCGGCUGUCACUUUAGGAUGGACCCGCGGCGUAUUAGCUUGUUGGUAAGGUAACGGCCUACCAAGGCGAUGAUACGUAGCCGACCUGAGAGGGUAAUCGGCCACAUUGGGACUGAGACACGGCCCAAACUCCUACGGGAGGCAGCAGUAGGGAAUCUUCCACAAUGGACGAAAGUCUGAUGGAGCAACGCCGCGUGAGUGAUGAAGGGUUUCGGCUCGUAAAACUCUGUUGUUGGAGAAGAACAGGUGUCAGAGUAACUGUUGACAUCUUGACGGUAUCCAACCAGAAAGCCACGGCUAACUACGUGCCAGCAGCCGCGGUAAUACGUAGGUGGCAAGCGUUGUCCGGAUUUAUUGGGCGUAAAGCGAGCGCAGGCGGUUUUUUAGGUCUGAUGUGAAAGCCUUCGGCUUAACCGGAGAAGUGCAUCGGAAACCGGGAGACUUGAGUGCAGAAGAGGACAGUGGAACUCCAUGUGUAGCGGUGAAAUGCGUAGAUAUAUGGAAGAACACCAGUGGCGAAGGCGGCUGUCUGGUCUGUAACUGACGCUGAGGCUCGAAAGCAUGGGUAGCGAACAGGAUUAGAUACCCUGGUAGUCCAUGCCGUAAACGAUGAGUG
Molecule: ribosomal RNA, 740 nt
Filed under: uncultured bacterium
Lineage: Bacteria
Description: bacterial SSU rRNA
Rfam family: Bacterial small subunit ribosomal RNA
Source: RNAcentral